CGAUCAUGGCUCAGAUUGAACGCUGGCGGGAUGCUUACAUGCAAGUCGAACGGCAGCACGGACUUCGGUCUGGUGGCGAGUGGCGAACGGGUGAGUAAUGUAUCGGAACGUGCCUAGUAGCAGGGGAUAACUACGCGAAAGCGUAGCUAAUACCACUAUACGCCCUUCGGGGGAAAGCAGGGGACCUUGGGCCUCACCUAUCAGAACGGUCGAUAUCGGAUUAGCUAGUUGGUGGGGUAACGGCUCACCAAGGCGACGAUCCGUAGCUGGUUUGAGAGGACGACCAGCCACACUGGGACUGAGACACGGCCCAGACUCCUGCAGGAGGCAGCAGUGGGGAAUUUUGGACAAUGGGGAAACCUGAUCCAGCCAUCCCGCGUGUGCGAUGAGAAGGCCUUCCGGUUGUAAAGUACUUUUGGCAGGAAAGAAACGGCGCGGGAUAAUACCCCGUGCAACUGACGUACAGAAUAAGCACCGGCUAACGUGCCAACAGCCGCGGUAAUACGUAGGGUGCAAGCGUUAAUCCGGAAUUACUGGGCGUAAAGCGUGCGCAGGCGGUUCGGAAGAAAGAUGUCAAUCAAGAACACUUUGGAGCCAUUUUUUAACUACCGAACUAGAAGAGUGUGUCAGAGAGGAGGUGGAAUUCCGCGUGUAGCAGUGAAAUGCGUAGAUAUGCGGAGGAACACCGAUGGCAAUAACCUCCUGGAAGUUUACUGACGCUCAUGCACGAUAGCGUGGGAGCAAACAGGAUUAGAUACCCUGGUAAUCCACGCCCUAAACGGUCAUCCCAACUAGCUGUUGGGGCCUUCGGGCCUUGGUAGCGCAGCUAACGCGUAGAAGUUGACCGCCUGGGGAAUUACGGUGAGCAAGAUUAAAACUCGAGGAAUUGACAGGGACCCGCACAAGCGGUGGAUGAUGUGGAUUAAUUCCCGAUGCAACGCGAAAAACCUUACCUACGCCGACAUGUCUGGAAUCCCGAAGAGAUUUGGGAGUGCUCGAAGACCGGAACACAGGUGCUGCAUGGCUGUCGUCAGCUCGUGUCGUGAGAUGUUGGGUUCAGUCCCUGCUUGAGCGCAACCCUUGUCAUUAGUUGCUACGAAAGGGCACUCUAAUGGAACUGCCGGUGAUAAAACCGGAGGAAGGUGGAGUCGACGUCAAGUCCUCAUGGCCCUUAUGGGUAGGGCUUCACACGUCAUACAAUGGUCAGGACAGAGGGUCGCCAACCCGCGAGGGCAAUCCCAGAAACCCGAUCUAGUCCGGAUCGCAGUCACAAACUCGACUGCGUGAAGUCGAAUCGCUAGUAAUCGCGGAUCAGCAUGUCGCGGUGAAUACGUUCCCAGAUCUUGUACACACCGCCGUCACCAUGGGAGUGGGUUUCCAAGUAGUUAGCCUAACCGUAAGGAGGGGCGAUUACCACGGUAGGAUUCAUGACUGGGGGUGAAGUCGUAACAAAUUAAC
Molecule: ribosomal RNA, 1458 nt
Filed under: uncultured Bordetella sp.
Lineage: Bacteria; Pseudomonadati; Pseudomonadota; Betaproteobacteria; Burkholderiales; Alcaligenaceae
Description: partial 16S-23S ribosomal RNA intergenic spacer
Rfam family: Bacterial small subunit ribosomal RNA
Source: RNAcentral